AUGUCACAGCACAAGCUGUGUGGGUCUCCGUGUCACCGUCAGGGUCCCUGUGGAAGCCUUCCAGCUUGGCGUGAAGGGUGUUCAACAGCUCAGGCACCUUCUCUAAAACUUCGCAUCUUCAGUCUUAGGCAUCUGCGCCUGCGGUCAGGCGGCGGCUCUGAUGACCGCUCAGUGACACCGUGGGUCCCGGCGCUGCUGGAGAACCUCAGUCCUCUCCGCGCCAUUCGCUCGGCCACUGGGGGGACAACUGCCUUCAUCUCCCCUUUGUGUUUUCCUCUCUGCUUCCCUUCUCCUGCUGUUUCCUCCAUUCCUCCUCUUGCUUCUGGGCUGAAGAGGCAUCCAGACAGCUCAGGUUAACUGCUUGAGAGCUGGUUCCUUCAAAAAUGCAUCCGACUCAGAAAUCUCGGGGACAUCGCUCCCACACAGGUUCUGCCUUUGUUCUGGUCUUCAUGAAACACAUCUGCCUGGGCUUGGACCCUGAGCACAGCUGCGGCUGGGGGCC
This 502-nucleotide long non-coding RNA is filed under the name Capra hircus (goat). Its description in RNAcentral is "lncRNA (ENSCHIG00010015167.1)". The record is from RNAcentral. Lineage: Eukaryota; Metazoa; Chordata; Mammalia; Artiodactyla; Bovidae.